Molecule: transfer RNA, 68 nt
Filed under: Palomena prasina (green shield bug)
Lineage: Eukaryota; Metazoa; Arthropoda; Insecta; Hemiptera; Pentatomidae
Description: tRNA-Phe
Rfam family: tRNA
About the family: Transfer RNA (tRNA) molecules are approximately 80 nucleotides in length. Their secondary structure includes four short double-helical elements and three loops (D, anti-codon, and T loops).
Source: RNAcentral
ACUUGAAUAGCUUAAAUUUUUAAAGCAUAACUCUGAAGAAGUUAAUAUAGGUAUAUACCUUUUAAGUA